AGCGAACGCUGGCGGUAGGCCUAACACAUGCAAGUCGAACGGCAGCACAGUAAGAGCUUGCUCUUACGGGUGGCGAGUGGCGGACGGGUGACGAAUACAUCGGAAUCUACUUUUUCGUGGGGGAUAACGUAGGGAAACUUACGCUAAUACCGCAUACGACCUACGGGUGAAAGCAGGGGAUCUUCGGACCUUGCGCGAUUGAAUGAGCCGAUGUCGGAUUAGCUAGUUGGCGGGGUAAAGGCCCACCAAGGCGACGAUCCGAAGCUGGUCUGAGAGGAUGAUCAGCCACCCUGGAACUGAGACAGGGUCCAGACUCCUACGGGAGGCAGCAGUGGGGAAUAUUGGGCAAUGGGGGCGAGCCUGAUACAGCCAUACCGCGUGGGUGAAGAAGGCGUUCGGGUUGUAAAGCCCUUUUGUUGGGAAAGAAAAGCAGCAGGUUAAUACCCCGCUGUUCUGACGGUACCCGAAGAAUAAGCACCGGCUAACCUCGUG
Molecule: ribosomal RNA, 492 nt
Filed under: uncultured bacterium
Lineage: Bacteria
Description: partial 16S ribosomal RNA
Rfam family: Bacterial small subunit ribosomal RNA
Source: RNAcentral